UGUCCUGAGGUUUCAGGUUAUGGGAGCCACGGGAGCGGUCCUCCGGGAGAGUCGGCUGCAUAGUGGGUCUUCAGCCCAAACGAUAGCGUGUCUUGUCUGUAGCAGGAUACUCUCCAUAUCCCCGGCUCUCUUUUUCUAAAAUAGAACUGGGAGCCACAGAAGCAUGCGAGGAGGCCCUGGCUGUCAUCUUCUGGUUUGCCUUCGGCCUCAGGAGCAGCUGUUCUGUGUCUCCAAGACUCUUUAAGAUAAGUUUGCUCUUUGGUAUCCACAAGUUUCUGAUUGUCUACCCCUGGGUCCUGCAGUGUGGGGGAGAAUUUACAUAGCAAAUUGAGGAGAAGAAGAAAAGGUCUGACUUAGGAAUGGUUCAAGUAGUUUAACAGGAACCUCAUCAGGACUAGGGUGUGGUCUAAACGUGUCACUUAUGGAGACAUAUUGCAUGGAGAGGCAUCAUGAAGCCAUAGUUAGUAGGAAAGAGGCAACAUUUACCACUUCAUGGUUUGAGCCAUACCCAAUGCCACAGUAAUAGCUUACAGCCAGCCUUGGUCAGGGCCUUCUCAUCAGACCUCACACUCUGCUGUCCUAGGACUCCCCAGGGACCUUGUUCCUCCGGCUGGGUGAUGGCCUCAGACUUGGUAUUGCAUCACCGGGAACACCCGUCCCAGAGCCUGACUUGCAAGGAGGCACACCUCAUUUCUGCUCCCAGGCAGGCGAGCAGCACGCUCUAAUCAGCUGGGCAGGUGUUGCAACAGCGUGGGUAGUUGACUCACAGUGUAUUUAGCAGAUUUACCCAGGCAAAGCUACGCUUACCCAGUGAAGAGAAAGAAAGGACCCUGGGCUGAAAUUUAGGGGUACUAGAGACCCACUGCCAGCCCCCAAGGUGAAGGCGGCAGGGAGACUCCGAGGUUGAACUGCAGAAUCUUCAUGUUUCUCAGAAAUUCUUAUUCUGUGUCUUCUUUUAUAGGGUUGGGGGAGAGUGUCUUUUCUCUUUCAGAAAGUGACAUGUAAUUUACACACACGUGAAACUUACAGCUCUUAAGCAUAUAACUCCAUGCAAUUUGACAAAGGGUGUAAUCCACACCCACCAAGGUCCAGAACAAUCCGCUCCGCUCAGAAAGUUUCCUGGUGCCUCUUGUGACCACCUGCACUGGAAGCAGCUGCUCUUCUGAAUCCUGUAUCGGUCUUUGUCACUACUCACGCAAAUAACAUAUGUAUUCAGUCCCCAAAUGAGUAGAUUUGGAGCCACUUGUUUAUGAAAAUACAUACCAUAAUUUUAAGGUAUAGCUUAGGUUUGAAAUGUAUUUUGGGAAUGAAUAUAAAAUAUGAUAUAUAUAUGUUUUUGUACACACACAGACAUACCACAGUAAACUACUAUUUAGGCUUAAAGAUAAAGGAAAUCAUAAUGUGUGCUACAUUUUGUUAAGUGAAAUAUGCUAAACACAAAUAUGAUUACAUGACCCCACUAAUAAGAGAUACCUACACUAGCUACAGCCAUAGAGGUAAAGUGUAGACCAGUGCCCAGGGAGGCAGGGAAUGGCACUGCUUGGUGGGUAUAGUGUAGAAUUUCAAUAUGAGGUGU
RNAcentral lists this long non-coding RNA (1576 nucleotides) under Mus musculus (house mouse). Its description in RNAcentral is "long non-coding RNA chr15:27477162-27478738". Lineage: Eukaryota; Metazoa; Chordata; Mammalia; Rodentia; Muridae. The record is from RNAcentral.